Molecule: unclassified non-coding RNA, 307 nt
Filed under: plant metagenome
Description: partial contains 5.8S ribosomal RNA, internal transcribed spacer 2, and large subunit ribosomal RNA
Rfam family: 5.8S ribosomal RNA (bases 1-105)
Source: RNAcentral
GAAAUGCGAUAAGUAAUGUGAAUUGCAGAAUUCAGUGAAUCAUCGAAUCUUUGAACGCACAUUGCGCCCGCCAGCACUCUGGCGGGCAUGCCUGUUCGAGCGUCAUUUCAACCCUCAGAACCCCUUGCGGGAUCUGGCGUUGGGGAUUGGCAUCCAGCCAGCCCCGAAAUCUAGUGGCGGUCCCUCCGCGACCUCCCCUGUGCAGUAGCGAUACCUCGCAGCGGGACAGCGGUCUGACCACGCCGUAAAACCCCCAACUUCUCUAGGUUGACCUCGAAUCAGGUAGGAAUACCCGCUGAACUUAAGC